GUAGGUGGCAAGCGUUGUCCGGAAUUAUUGGGCUUAAAGCGCGCGCAGGCGGUUCUUUAAGUCUGAUGUGAAAGCCCACGGCUCAACCGUGGAGGGUCAUUGGAAACUGGAGAACUUGAGUACAGAAGAGGAAAGCGGAAUUCCACGUGUAGCGGUGAAAUGCGUAGAGAUGUGGAGGAACACCAGUGGCGAAGGCGGCUUUCUGGUCUGUAACUGACGCUGAGGCGCGAAAGCGUGGGGAGCAAACAGGGAUUAGAUACCCUGGUAGUCCACGCCGUAAACGAUGAGUGCUAAGUGUUAGGGGGUUUCCGCCCCCUUAGUGCUGCAGCUAACGCAUUAAGCACUCCGCCUGGGGAUACGGCCGCAAGGCUG
Molecule: ribosomal RNA, 372 nt
Filed under: uncultured organism
Description: partial 16S ribosomal RNA
Rfam family: Bacterial small subunit ribosomal RNA
Source: RNAcentral